CGUUGCGUGCGCGUGGCGUGUAGCUCGGCUGCGCGGCGUGGUCAGCAACACGAAGGCAGGGGGUUGCCGAACCAGCACGUAGAGGGCGAGCCGUAGAAGUAGGUAGAAGUUCCGUGCAGUAGGUAAACCGUACCGUGGACUCGGUAAACCGUACCGUGGACCCUGGAAUAGAUAGAAAUCCAACGCAUCAGUACACAGUUAUCAUCUAGGUUCCACAUACCGUCAUCAAAACCUACAGAAGAGCACCUAAUCUAACUUGAUUGAGGCGGCAGUGGAAACCAGAACGGAAUACCUAACAUUAAUUAAAUAAGAAAUAGUAAUAAUAAGGAAAG
This is a long non-coding RNA of Plutella xylostella (diamondback moth), 332 nucleotides long. RefSeq lists it as uncharacterized. The record is from RefSeq and is a predicted model, not a curated record. NCBI's taxonomy places the organism in Eukaryota, Metazoa, Arthropoda, Insecta, Lepidoptera, Plutellidae.